Molecule: ribosomal RNA, 242 nt
Filed under: Tomentella botryoides
Lineage: Eukaryota; Fungi; Basidiomycota; Agaricomycetes; Thelephorales; Thelephoraceae
Description: partial large subunit ribosomal RNA
Source: RNAcentral
AAACGCUUGAAGUCAGUCACGUCUGCCAGGACUCAGCCUUGCUUCUGCUUGGUGUACUUUCUGGUUUGACGGGCCAACAUCAAUUUUGACCGUUGGAGAAAGGCUUUGGGAAUGUGGCACCCUCGGGUGUGUUAUAGCCCUUUGUCGUAUACAACGGUUGGGAUUGAGGACCGCAGCACGCCUUCAUGGCCGGGGUUCGCCCACGUACGUGCUUAGGAUGUUGGCAUAAUGGCUUUAAGCGA